This 423-nucleotide unclassified non-coding RNA is filed under the name fungal sp. RNAcentral describes it as "partial internal transcribed spacer region". The record is from RNAcentral. Lineage: Eukaryota; Fungi.
AAGUCGUAACAAGGUUUCCAUUAACGUAUCCACGUUAAACCAACCGUGCACUUUCAAUUCUGCGUUGUUUUUGAGCUCGAGGUCAGUUCGCUUUCCAAGAGUUCGAAGACGAUUCGUUUCGGCUCGACACGUGUCGUGAAGUUGGUGCUUCCACAGGCGAUGGAUGACACAUCUGACGAGUGAAACUGGAAGGGUACGUAACUCGACAGUUUCGACGUGGGGCUGGAAAACUCGAUUUAUUUCAAAGGACGAUCCGUUCUGGGCCGGAUCGAAAUUUGUGGUAAGGAGAGGGUUCUGGAAACUCUGCGGGGUAACUGUCUUGAGUUGCACAUCCAUUUCAAACCCCUUUAAAAAAUUGACAUCCGAGGUAAAACCGAGGCUCGAGGAACCGAACAACUGUGAACAAUGGAUAUCUUGGUUGUC